GCCACACUGGAACUGAGACACGGUCCAGACUCCUACGGGAGGCAGCAGUGGGGAAUAUUGCGCAAUGGGCGAAAGCCUGACGCAGCGACGCCGCGUGAGUGAUGAAGGCCUUCGGGUCGUAAAGCUCUGUCGGACGGGAACGAAAACACGAAGGGAACAAUACCCCUUCGCUCUGACGGUACCUCCUUAGCAAGCACCGGCUAACUACGUGCCAGCAGCCGCGGUAAAACGUAGGGUGCAAACGUUGUUCGGAAUUACUGGGCGUAAAGCGCGCGUAGGCGGGUCUGUAAGUCGGAUGUGAAAGCCCUCGGCUCAACUGAGGAAGUGCAUUCGAAACUGCAAGCCUAGAGUACGGGAGAGGAGAGUGGAAUUCCCGGUGUAGAGGUGAAAUUCGUAGAUAUCGGGAGGAACACCAGCGGCGAAGGCGGCUCUCUGGACCGAUACUGACGCUGAGGCGCGAAAGCGUGGGGAGCAAACAGGAUUAGAUACCCUGGUAGUCCACGCUGUAAACGAUGGGCACUAGAUGUCGCGGGUUUUGAUGCCUGCGGUGUCGCAGCUAACGCGAUAAGUGCCCCGCCUGGGGACUACGGCCGCAAGGCUAAAACUCAAAGGAAUUGACGGGGGCCCGCACAAGCGGUGGAGCAUGUGGUUUAAUUCGACGCAACGCGCAGAACCUUACCCGGGCUAGAAACCAUUCGAACCUGGUAGAAACACCAGGGUGCCCUUUCGGGGGAGCGGAUGUCCAGGUGCUGCAUGGCUGUCGUCAGCUCGUGUCGAGAUGUUGGGUUAAGUCCCGCAACGAGCGCAACCCUUGCCAUUAGUUGCCAUCGGGUCAUGCCGGGCACUCUAGUGGGACUGCCCCGGUUAACGGGGAGGAAGGUGGGGAUGACGUCAAGUCCUCAUGGCCCUUAUGUCCGGGGCUACACACGUGCUACAAUGGUCGGUACAAUGGGCUGCCAACCCGCGAGGGGGAGCUAAUCCCAAAAAAAACCGGCCCCAGUACGGAUAGGAGUCUGCAACUCGACUCCUUGAAGGCGGAAUCGCUAGUAAUCGCUGAUCAGCAGGCAGCGGUGAAUACGUUCCCGGGCCUUGUACACACCGCCCGUCACACCAUGGAAGUCGGUUGCUGCAGAAGUGGCUGAGCUGACCCACAAGGGGAGCAGGUCCCGAAGUAUUAAUGACUGGGGUGAAGUCGGAACAAGGUA
RNAcentral lists this ribosomal RNA (1205 nucleotides) under metagenome. RNAcentral describes it as "bacterial SSU rRNA". It matches the Rfam family "Bacterial small subunit ribosomal RNA", at positions 307 to 1498 of the family's 1533-position model. The record is from RNAcentral.